GACGAACGCUGGCGGCGUGCUUAACACAUGCAAGUCGAGCGGUAAGGCCCUUUCGGGGGUACGACGAGCGGCGAACGGGUGAGUAACACGUGGGUGACCUGCCCUCAGCUCUGGGAGUAAGACCUGGGAAACCGGGUACUAAUACUGGAUAUGACUCCAUGACGCAUGUUGUGGGGUGGAAAGCCUUGUGCGGCUGAGGAUGGGCCCGCGGCCUAUCAGCUUGUUGGUGGGGUGANGGGCCUACCAAGGCGACGACGGGUAGCCGGCCUGAGAGGGCGACCGGCCACACUGGGACUGAGACAC
This 303-nucleotide ribosomal RNA is filed under the name uncultured bacterium. RNAcentral's name for it is "bacterial SSU rRNA". It matches the Rfam family "Bacterial small subunit ribosomal RNA", at positions 28 to 327 of the family's 1533-position model. The record is from RNAcentral.